GACGAACGCUGGCGGCGUGCUUAACACAUGCAAGUCGAACGGAAAGGCCCGGCUUUUGUGGGUUGCUCGAUUGGCGAACGGGGGAGUAACACGUGAGUAACCUGCCCUUGACUUUGUGAUAACUUCAGGAAACUGGGGCUAAUACCGGAUAGGAGCUCCUGCUGCAUGGUGGGGGUUGGAAAAUGUCGGCGGUGGGGGAUGGACUCGCGGCUUAUCAGCUUGUUGGUGGGGUAGUGGCUUACCAAGGCUUUGACGGGUAGCCCGCCUUAGAGGGUGACCGGCCACAUUGGGACUGCGAUACGCACCAGAAUCCUAUGGGCGGCAGCAGUGGGGAAUAUUGCACAAUGGGCCGAAGCCUGAUGCAGAAACGCCGCGUGCGGGAUGCCGGCCUUCGGGUUGUAAACAGCUUUCGCCUGUGACGAAGCGUGAGUGACGGUAAUGGGUAAAGAAGCACCGGCUAACUACGUG
Molecule: ribosomal RNA, 468 nt
Filed under: uncultured bacterium
Lineage: Bacteria
Description: partial 16S ribosomal RNA
Rfam family: Bacterial small subunit ribosomal RNA
Source: RNAcentral